UGGGAGUGACGUCAUGGCUACGCUUUGAUCAAAAUAUUUCCUUAACUGCAUAGCACAUAGAGUUUAGAUCUAGAUCUAAUCGAAUUACUUUUAAACGUUCAUUCAAUACAAGUUGACGGAUGCUGGUGUUUGUGUCCAGCUGUGUGUGAUUAGCUCCCUUUGUUCUAUUUGGUGUGAUCUCUCAAGAUGGCCAACUACGUGAAGAUCGACGCCAAGUUUUUUUUCCACGUCUUCCUCGGGUUCAUGCUGACAUCGGUCAUGUUGACCUGUGUGCUCGUUUAUCAGGUCAUUAGAGUACACGAAAAUAACGAGGAACCGAAACAACUAGGGACGCUAGUUGGUCACGUGGGGUACCGAUUCGAGGGGGAAAUAUUUGCUAGAAUGUCGGCUAGGACCAAAGCAAGGGAAUCAGCAGAGAGUUCAUGUAGAGUGAGUCAGAUUGUCUCCAAUGAAACGUGUUUGGGUUUCGUUUGGACGUCGUUUUCUUCGCAGAACAUCACCGGGUUCAUUGUGAAUGUGAGGAAGUCAAAAGACUCACGUGACGCUGGGUUGACGCAUGCGCUGUCGGCUGUCAGGUCAGAGUUCACCCAGUGCGAUUUGUUGCCUUGCACGCCGUACCUUGUCACCUUGACCGGUGUGGGGACGAAUCCCAACCAGACGGCGUCUGAGGUCAUGUGGACAAUGCAUGCUGUGCCGCCAACACCUGAACUUCCUAGACUCCUGGAUGUGACUGAUUCAACCUUGACCCUUCUAUUACCGGAAGUGACGCUGACCGGCGGGCCGCUGACGGCCGUGGAGGUCCGCCUUAACCCAAAUGUCAAGCCCCCUCCGGCCGAAGACCUGUUGAAGGCCGCUGCCCGCAAGGCCUCGUCUCCUCGCUACAAAGUGAGACGGGUCAAGCGAAGUCGGGACCCGCUUGGGCGUGCCGUGGAGGUCCCAUGGGACGUUCUCCGAGACAUGGGCCGGCACUGGGAGGAGUCUCACACAUCACCAAACACAAAUCUCAAAGACUUCUUGCAUCACAAGAAAAUAAAUUCCUCAAUGAUGGAGCUUUCAGGAAAUACCAGCAUCAAUCAGCGUUGGUACGAGAAGCUCACUGGCGACGAACUGUUUGGAGAUUAUAGUUCACUCUACGAUCAGCAAGUUGCAAAAAUUCUGAGUCAGCUGUUUGUAGAUGACAAGGGAGGUUACCUGUUUUCUAAGAUUAUACAGGGAGACAAUUCUAAAUUACUCGCGUCGAUAUUCGCCGAUCUUGAAAAAGAAGAAGGAACGGAAACCGCGGGUAAAAGAAACGAAACAACAACAAAAGAAACAGUGGAGAAUAGGGGUCAAAAUACAAAAACAAGGCACAAAAGAAAUGCGGUCAAGGACAACAUCUACAGCCUUGAGAUAAACAAUGACCUUCAGAUUGACCCUUAUCAAACGGUUCACGUGAUUCGACGUGACAACAAAACUGUUGUGAUCAAGACCGGGUUUGGGUACUUGAUCACUGACCAACAUGGCGUCAGGUACUCGUUCUACAACAGCACCCAGUUGAAGGAGAAUCUGCUACGUCACAUCCGGUUUCAAGAAGUGGAUGAUUUCCUCUACUACUUAAAGAAGUUGCCUGAGAACGCUUCAAUCUACAGCCGUGACGAAGUGAGUGAGUUGUCGAAACGUCUGGACACGGUGAAGGAAAUCAACAAGAAGCGAAGGGAGAGAAUAUUUAAGGACACGUUCGAAGAGUUUAUCUGGCUGUCCGAUCAGAAAUAUCGGGGACAGAUGCCGCAGACGAUGGUGCCAGAGAUGGCCAAGCUUGGGUUCCCGCCAGGCUUCCCCGUGGCCAGAUUUCAAGAUGGCCGCUCACGGAAUGUAACAAUAGGUGGCCGGCAGUCUGACGAUAUCCGGCUGGUUUAUUUACAUUCCGGGAUGCAAUAUGAGGUUGUCUUCGUGGUCCUAAGCACCGUGGCCGGCGUAACGAAGCACUCCUGGGUCAGCUUCAAUGUCACGGUCAAACACAUGACCUACCAGGAUUCGAACCCCAGCCAUUUCAGCUUCGUCGUGGCUUUUAUCGCAGUGGGUUUCCUCUUCUCCCUCGUUGUGAACAUCGUGUUCUGGAAAUUGGAGUGGCCUCGUAGGAAGAUGUACCAUACAUCCCGGCAGACGAUCUGCUAGCUCGCAUCUGAAGGGCAAAGAUAAAAUGUAUUAUACUAUCUGCAAUGUCUCAUGGAGUAUUUCUAUGCUGAAAUGUGUGGUCUAUACUUUUGUAAAAAGUUAGGUUUAGAUUUAUAUAGUCAAAAAACAAAAUGUAUCGCACCAUCUGCUAGGUCUGCGUAUGGCCUAUAAGCUUUUUGUUUUAGGGUUAGUUGUAUAGUGAAGCAAAACCAAACAUUAGUCUACGCUCUAAGUUUACCUUGGUUGUUUAAAAUGUUUUUACGAAGAAACGUAAACACGUACAAAAUAAAAGAACAUUAAAA
This is an RNA transcript of Physella acuta, 2456 nucleotides long. RefSeq lists it as uncharacterized. Lineage: Eukaryota; Metazoa; Mollusca; Gastropoda; Physidae. The record is from RefSeq and is a predicted model, not a curated record.